This 332-nucleotide long non-coding RNA is filed under the name Capsicum annuum. RNAcentral describes it as "long non-coding RNA (CANN_LNC014949)". Lineage: Eukaryota; Viridiplantae; Streptophyta; Magnoliopsida; Solanales; Solanaceae. The record is from RNAcentral.
AUGUGACAGCAGGGUUAAUGUGUCCACCAGAAAUACCAGCAGUGCAAUAAACAAGUACGAAUAUCAUACCCCCAAAGGCCCAAGCAAUUCCAAGAAUGCCAACACCACCACAUUGGUCAGUGGCACUUUGGCUCUUGUAGCCAAUUACAGUAAGGACAGUGAUAUAGAGGAAUAACAAUGUGGCGAUGAAUUCAGCAAUAAUAGCUCUAUAAAAAGACCAUUUACCAAGUUCUUCAGGAUCAAUUAAGGGUGCUGGAGGUGGAUCUUGGUAGUCCUUUGGUGCAUAUUCAGUGCCAACUUCAACGUCUUUAGGCAUCUUUAAGCAAGAAAUU